This 361-nucleotide transfer-messenger RNA is filed under the name Mariniblastus fucicola. RNAcentral's name for it is "transfer-messenger RNA, SsrA". It matches the Rfam family "transfer-messenger RNA". From Rfam's summary of the family: Bacterial tmRNA, also known as 10Sa RNA or SsrA, is named for its dual tRNA and mRNA-like properties. Its role is to liberate the mRNA from a stalled ribosome. Lineage: Bacteria; Pseudomonadati; Planctomycetota; Planctomycetia; Pirellulales; Pirellulaceae. The record is from RNAcentral.
GGGGGCGAAUUGGAAUCGACCGGAUUGGAUGAAGGCUUGGUGGCGUGUCGUGGUUGAUCAGAAGGCCACGUAAAAAUCUGAUCAAAACCUUAAUUGCUAAAGAUAACUCUUUCGCAUUGGCUGCAUAGUAAUAUGCACCACCGGUUGAUGAGCUUCGCUGGAGAGCUUUGAAAACCGGUCACCAAUUCCAGAUCGUAGUAAGUCACGUCGGAUACGCUUUCUACUAAACAGAGUUUCUGUCUAGCCUGGUUUUCAGGGUGUCUCUGCCCGGCUGAUCAGGCGAAAUUCAAAUCAGUGACUACACACGUAGAGGCCAAUCUGGAAACAUCGCGGGACGCGGGUUCGAUACCCGCCGCCUCCA